Molecule: ribosomal RNA, 253 nt
Filed under: uncultured bacterium
Lineage: Bacteria
Description: partial 16S ribosomal RNA
Rfam family: Bacterial small subunit ribosomal RNA
Source: RNAcentral
UACAGAGGGUGCAAGCGUUGCUCGGAAUCAUUGGGCGUAAAGGGCAGGUAGGUGGUCUCGUUUGUCUGGGGUGAAAGCCUUGAGCUUAACUCAAGAAGUGCCCCGGAAACGGCGUGACUGGAGUCUUGGAGAGGGUCGUGGAAUUCCCGGUGUAGCGGUGAAAUGCGUAGAGAUCGGGAGGAACACCAGAGGCGAAGGCGGCGACCUGGACAAGCACUGACACUCAACUGCGAAAGCGUGGGGAGCAAACAGG